GAUGAACGCUGGCGGCGUGCUUAACACAUGCAAGUCGAACGAAGAUGCCGGAGUGCUUGCACUUUGGCAGACUGAGUGGCGGACGGGUGAGUAACGCGUGGGUAACCUGCCUUAUACAGGGGGAUAACAGUUGGAAACGACUGCUAAUACCGCAUAAGCGCACGGUAUCGCAUGAUACAGUGUGAAAAACUCCGGUGGUAUAAGAUGGACCCGCGUCUGAUUAGCUAGUUGGUGAGGUAACGGCCCACCAAGGCGACGAUCAGUAGCCGGCCUGAGAGGGUGAACGGCCACAUUGGGACUGAGACACGGCCCAAACUCCUACGGGAGGCAGCAGUGGGGAAUAUUGCACAAUGGGGGAAACCCUGAUGCAGCGACGCCGCGUGAGUGAUGAAGUAUUUCGGUAUGUAAAACUCUAUCAGCAGGGAAGAUAAUGACGGUACCUGACUAAGAAGCACGGCUAAAUACGUGCCAGCAGCCGCGGU
RNAcentral lists this ribosomal RNA (482 nucleotides) under uncultured bacterium. RNAcentral describes it as "bacterial SSU rRNA". It matches the Rfam family "Bacterial small subunit ribosomal RNA", at positions 28 to 521 of the family's 1533-position model. The record is from RNAcentral.